Long non-coding RNA from Oncorhynchus keta (chum salmon), 700 nucleotides. RefSeq lists it as uncharacterized. The transcript has 4 exons. NCBI's taxonomy places the organism in Eukaryota, Metazoa, Chordata, Actinopteri, Salmoniformes, Salmonidae. The record is from RefSeq and is a predicted model, not a curated record.
UUACUGUGGAGAAGACGAAUAGAGUUAGAGAGAGGUGUUACUGUGGAGAAGACGAAUAGAGUUAGAGUGAGGUGUUACUGUGGAGAAGACGAAUAGAGUUAGAGAGAGGUGUUACUGUGGAGAAGACUAAUAGAGUUAGAGAGAGGUGUUACUGUGGAGAAGAGUAAUAGAGUUAGAGGUGUUACUGUGGAGAAGACGAAUAGAGUUAGAGAGAGGUGUUACUGUGGAGAAGACGAAUAUAGUUAGAGAGAGGUGUUACUGUGGAGAAGACGAAUAGAGUUAGAGAGAGGUGUUACUGUGGAGAAGACUAAUAGAGUUAGAGAGAGGUGUUACUGUGGAGAAGAGUAAUAGAGUUAGAGGUGUUACUGUGGAGAAGACGAAUAGAGUUAGAGAGAGGUGUUACUGUGUAGAAGAGUAAUAGAGUUAGUUAGUGAGAGGUGUUACUGUGGAGAAGAGUAAUAGAGUUAGAGGUGUUACUGUGGAGAAGACGAAUAGAGUUAGAGUGAGGUGUUACUGUGGAGAAGACGAAUAGAGUUAGAGAGAGGUGUUACUGUGGAGAAGACUAAUAGAGUUAGAGAGAGGUGUUACUGUGGAGAAGAGUAAUAGAGUUAGAGGUGUUACUGUGGAGAAGACGAAUAGAGUUAGAGAGAGGUGUUACUGUGGAGAAGACGAAUAGAGUUAGAGUGAGGUGUUACUGUGG